CUUAUUUUAUGUCUAGAGUUACAUUUGUGAAUAUGCAUCUAUGUUUCAUACUUUUUUCUUUAAAAUUACACGUUGAAUUUUCUCCAACCCAACCUUAGUGAUCUAUAUAUAGCUUGCUCAUACAAGACAUGAAGCUGCGGGUCGUCGUACUGUAGUAUGAGAGAAACUCCACGACCCUGAAAUACUACAGACAAUGUUUUACGUGUUCUUCUUUUUUUCUUUGUUGUCAUCCAGUGAUUUUAUCCAUUUUUCAGUGCAUUACCUUCUGCGUGAUCCCAAAUCCUACUUAAUAAGGAGCCUUAACAGCUAAAAGAAAUUUCCUAAAAUUAACGAUGACAUCACUGUAUCUCAGAAUAGUAAAGCUUCAAUGCCGAAAAAAGAAAAUGUUAAUAACGAUUUUAACAAAUAUCUAUCGAACAAACUAUAGCGCGCAGACAUUGGAUACAAUUUUCUGAUUACUUCAUUGCCGUAAUGUGGUGAAAAAAAUAAAAACAAUUUAUUUAUUUUUGUUGCUAUAAAUAUUUUUAAUUUUUUACUUUUUGAAAGCAAAAUCACAGCUACAUAAGGUGUGGCUUAAUAAUAUAGUAAUAAUAUAAUAAUUAUCAUAAAAGAUAUGAAUUAACGAUAAUCGAUAAAAUUAUAUAAUGGUUUUUUCUCACAUUCAUUCUAUAUAUUCUAUAGCUUCAAAUAGUACCUACGCUUUAUUCAUACUAUUCUGUUUAUUUUAUCAUGUUACUCAAUUAUAUCCCUCCCCUUUCUGUUAUGUAUAUGAUUCCUUCGCUUUCGCUACUCUUAUAUAGACUCGUUUUUUUAACUACACGUAUAUAACUUUAUACGUCUGAGAAAUAUUCAAUCGUGUCGAUCAUAAGAUAAUACGCUAGAUCAAUAGGCAAAAUCUUUGUAGUCAGAUAUCUUAGCAUUUUUAUACUUGCGCUAUAUUAUAUAUAUAUUUUCGUGCGUACACUUUUGGCGCUUCGUUAUAUUUUGGAAUUAUCAAUUUUUCUCCGUUUUCUUUUUAUUUUAUUUGUUUCUUUCCCUUAAGCAUCAUCGCUAGUUUCUGCGCUUCUUUUUACACGAAACUUAAUUCUUUUACUUUGCACGUCGCUUAACUUACAAGCUAACAAUAUUGUACAAUAUUUUGUUAACUUUUGGGACUAACCACUCACUCAUUUUGUCGUGUAACACGCUUACGUUUUUCAAAGGAAAAUCUUGUCGAUUCCCUGGUAAAUUGGACAGUCCAUUGUGUCUUUUGUUCAGAUAAAGAUUUAGUUGCAUGUUGCCAAAAGUUAAAUAAAAAAAGUAUUAAAAUCGUAAUUUUUAUGCUAGUAUGUAUUUUAUUCAUAAAAACAUUUUUCAUAUAUACCCUUAAAUUAAAAGAUAUACAUAUAAUUACAGACGAGAGUACGAAUUUAUUCGCAAUUCAGCAUACAGAUAAUAGCAUCAGUCUACGUUAAGAAUAUCAAACUUUGCGACCUUAUAUUUUAUAACAUUGUCGCAAAGCGCAGAAGUUAAAAACCUCCAGAUUCUUAAGUUACGACAUUUCACAUUAAAUGUAUAGGUUGAUAUUCUUAAAGUAAAGUAGCUCGAAAAUCAAAUAUAAAAACAAAAGUUUACUAUAGUAAACAAUUAAAAUAAAACAAAAAAUGUAUAAAUUUCUUCACUACAUGAGAUUGCUCGGAUUCGUGUGUAAAACAAGUGUCUCGUUCAUUAUGUAAGAAUUAAUUAUAAACAGUUUUAUUGUUGGAGUUCUUUCAGAAUUUUGCAGCAUGUAUAUGGCACUCAUAUGGCUGGCUAGCUGAUGGGGCUUAGCCACGCAGGAAUACGCUUCUUUCCUAUUCAUAGGUAUAAUAGUAACGAGGUGUGUACGUGUAUUUAUUUGUCUGCGGCGAAAUUGAACUCGAGUAAUAUAUCAAGUUUCUGACAUCGGAGACUCGCACGCGCAUUUUCUUUGCUUUUUCUUCCUCUUUGCGCGAUGCAUUUCUGUAGCUGGUUUUAUUUUAUCUUGUCUGUACGCAUUCUUAAUCUUUUUUGUUAUUCUUAAUACACCCGUCGCAACUCGUUUGAUACUUCUGCGAAUAGAAGAAUAAACUCACUUGUUAUAGGGAAAUUUUAAAUAAUUAUAUCGACUAUUAGGAUCAAUGCUCGAAUCGGAUAAUUUUCUCGCAUCUUUUUUUAUACAUUUCCAAAUAAUGAUAAAUUUAGUAUGUUUAAAUAGUUUUUUCUAGUAUUGUUGUAACUGCACCAAAAAAUUAUAAAAUAUUUUCUACGAUCUCCAGAAAAAGUUAGAAAAUUUUGACACUAUAUUUUUUAAUGCGAGAAUUCGCUGUGUCAUGAUAACUUGCUUCUUUAGCAUUCAGAGUCGUUGUGCAAACGAUUCUGACUCUUUCUUUUAUAUUCAUCGCGAAAACGUCACAUUGGGCAUCGACUUUUGCCAAAAGAAAAAGAAAAACAUCGACGGAUUCCGCGUAAGGAUUACUCUGCUUUUUAUUAUAGGUGAAAGGACAAAAAAAAUGCUUACUGAAAUAUACGUAUUACGGUAUGCUCGUGCCUGCGAAUGUGACACUUUCGCAACGGCAUUGCUCAUGCGAGAAUUCUUAUUCACUUGACAUUCCACUCUGUGUUUUUGCAACAGCCAAUAGAUUUCUUUCUAUUAUUUAAGGCACUAGAUGUAAAGUAUUGUUUGCUUUUAUCUCAGAAUUUGACUAUUAAAAUCAGUGUAUAUGCGUUCCGUAAUCCGUGUGGUGAAACGACCUGUGUUGAUGUUGAAUUAAAAUUAAAAAUGAAAAAGCAGCACAUGUUUUCCAAUGCAAAAUAUGCUGCCAUCGGUUCGCGGUAGUAGCAAGUUAAGAAAAUUCAUUAGUUUCUGUUUUCAAGUGUAGAAAAGUAAUAUACAAGUCAUAAUAUUUUGCGAGUGAUAUUGUUAUUGUAUCCAUAGUAUAGUCAAUAAUAAAUAUAAUGAUUUCCCGUUUUUCUGCUAAGGCACAAAAUUCUACAAAUAAAAUUCCGAAAAGAUGGAGCCCCUUAUGGCACCCUAACACCUAAUCCUUUAGAAAAAAAAUUAUUUAAUUUGAAUUCCGAACGUUCACUCUCCUACGCAUAAAACUCUUUGUUUAUUUUUAUUCGUAUACAAACGCACGUUGUUUAGCAGGGAUGCCGCUGGAUUAUAACGUUAAUUUUAAAAUCACGAAGCUUAAUCCUGCCAACAGUUUGUUUUCUUCAAAGAAAUAAUAGUGCAAACGUAGAAUAUAACGUGUGUAUUCUAGUCGAUCCAAUUAUACAUAUUCAUUUACAUAAAACAGUAUACAUACAAGUAUGUAUUAAACAAUUUCAAUAACUUCCCAUCCGAUGCAGCAUCUUUCUAGUUUAUAGUAUACGCCGAAUAUACUUUUAUUUUCGUUAAUAUAUACUUAUGUCUCCUAUACCAAAUCUUUUGCUCACAAACGACUCGCUCUCGAGCGAUCCUUUUCUCCUAUCACCGUUUUUACUUACAUAGCGCGGCGUUUAUUCGCUCCGGAUUCUUUUUUACGCCGUUUUAAAUUAUUCUCGUUCAAUAUAUCCGAUCUGUCAUUGCCUAUAUCAGGUUAUCUCUGAGUUAUUUUCUUUUUUUUCAAUCGCCUCGGCUGGCAGUCUUUUUUAUAAAUUAAUCUUCACAAUACUGUUUGUAAUACGAUAUUCGACGCACCGAUCAAGCGUAUUUUCGAUGCGCCCGAAGAGUGUAUCUUUAAUAUCUUUUUUAUUUCCUUAAUUUUUUGUUUAGUUUUAAUACAAUUAUACAUCGGUUAAACCCUAUGGUCGAUUCACUGUAAUGUCGGGUAUUGCAUUACUUACAUACAUAAUUACAUAGGCGAGGCGCGAGGCAAAAUCGUUGCUGCCCUCCUCGCUGGUGUUUUUUAUUUUUUCCUUCUUUUCUACAUUAUAACGAAGUAGUGCAGUAAUCAGUCGCCGUGAACGUUGCUAAAAGCCAACCUCUGUCACGUCGUCGCUUUACAUUGUUUCUCGCGCGAUAUACUUAAAUAGCCCUCUAUCACUAUCGUACGUGGUGACUCACACAUACACACACGCGCGCGCGCGCACACACACACACACACCAUGCAUUUGUUACGUGCGCGAAAUAAUUCAAAUGACUCGGUGCAGUUCGGGUCGUAGUACAUCAUCGGUUAUCGAUGGAGAGAAGAAAAACAGCCCGCGAAAAUUAACGAAUGUUCGCCCAGUCCCCGGUUCUUUGAUCGUCGUUUCAUUAUACAUUGCGACAAUUAGCUACUUACAUGACUACUAAAAACUCUACGCCUAAAGACUCUUGGAC
This 4303-nucleotide long non-coding RNA is filed under the name Nasonia vitripennis (jewel wasp). RNAcentral's name for it is "uncharacterized LOC116738594". Lineage: Eukaryota; Metazoa; Arthropoda; Insecta; Hymenoptera; Pteromalidae. The record is from RNAcentral.